Molecule: transfer RNA, 72 nt
Filed under: Weissella ceti
Lineage: Bacteria; Bacillati; Bacillota; Bacilli; Lactobacillales; Lactobacillaceae
Description: tRNA-Lys (TTT) (tRNA-Lys-TTT-3-1)
Rfam family: tRNA
About the family: Transfer RNA (tRNA) molecules are approximately 80 nucleotides in length. Their secondary structure includes four short double-helical elements and three loops (D, anti-codon, and T loops).
Source: Rfam by way of RNAcentral
GUCUCCUUAGCUCAGUUGGUAGAGCAGAGGACUUUUAAUCCUUGGGUCCAGGGUUCGAGCCCUGAGGGGACA